AUCAACUUUCGAUGGUAGGAUAGAGGCCUACCAUGGUGGUAACGGGUAACGGGGUGUUAGGGCACGACACCGGAGAGGGAGCCUGAGAAACGGCUACCACAUCCAAGGAUGGCAGCAGGCGCGCAAAUUACCCAAUCCCGACACGGGGAGGUAGUGACAAUAAAUAACAAUACGGGGUUCUUUUGGAUCUCGUAAUUGGAAUGAGUACAAUUUAAAUCUCUUAACGAGGAACAAUUGGAGGGCAAGUCUGGUGCCAGCAGCCGCGGUAAUUCUAGCUCCAAUAGCGUAUAUUAAAGUUGUUGCAGUUAAAAAGCUCGUAGUUGAAUUUCAAGACCGGCUUAUUGGUCGUGCUUUUGUACGUACUGGUAUAAUCGGUUUCUCCUUUCUGACGAACUAUAAUGCCAUUAAUUUGGUGUUAUANGGAAUCAGGACUGUUACUUUGAAAAAAUUAGAGUGUUUAAAGCAGGCUCACGCUUGAAUACAUUAGCAUGGAAUAACGGAAUAGGACGUUUGAUUCUAUUUUGUUGGUUUCUAGGAUCGACGUAAUGAUUAAUAGGGAUAGUUGGGGGCAUUAGUAUUCAAUUGUCAGAGGUGAAAUUCUUGGAUUUAUUGAAGACUAACUACUGCGAAAGCAUUUGCCAAGGAUGUUUUCAUUAAUCAAGAACGAAAGUUAGGGGAUCGAAGACGAUCAGAUACCGUCGUAGUCUUAACCAUAAACUAUGCCGACUAGGGAUCGGAUGAUGUUAAUUUUUUAAUGACUCAUUCGGCGCCUUACGGGAAACCAAAGUGUUUGGGUUC
RNAcentral lists this ribosomal RNA (798 nucleotides) under uncultured Glomus. Its description in RNAcentral is "SSU rRNA". It matches the Rfam family "Eukaryotic small subunit ribosomal RNA", at positions 314 to 1114 of the family's 1831-position model. Lineage: Eukaryota; Fungi; Glomeromycota; Glomeromycetes; Glomerales; Glomeraceae. The record is from RNAcentral.